AGUCGAGCGGUAGGCCUUUCGGGGUACACGAGCGGCGAACGGGUGAGUAACACGUGGGUGAUCUGCCCUGUACCUCGGGAUAAGCCUGGGAAACUGGGUCUAAUACCGGAUAUGACCUCCUAUCGCAUGGUGGGUGGUGGAAAGAUUUAUCGGUGCAGGAUGGGCCCGCGGCCUAUCAGCUUGUUGGUGGGGUAAUGGCCUACCAAGGCGACGACGGGUAGCCGACCUGAGAGGGUGACCGGCCACACUGGGACUGAGACACGGCCCAGACUCCUACGGGAGGCAGCAGUGGGGAAUAUUGCACAAUGGGCGAAAGCCUGAUGCAGCGACGCCGCGUGAGGGAUGACGGCCUUCGGGUUGUAAACCUCUUUCAGCAGGGACGAAGCGCAAGUGACGGUACCUGCAGAAGAAGCACCGGCUAACUACGUGCCAGCAGCCGCGGUAAUACGUAGGGUGCAAGCGUUGUCCGGAAUUACUGGGCGUAAAGAGUUCGUAGGCGGUUUGUCGCGUCGUUUGUGAAAACCAGCAGCUCAACUGCUGGCUUGCAGGCGAUACGGGCAGAUUUGAGUACUGCAGGGGAGACUGGAAUUCCUGGUGUAGCGGUGAAAUGCGCAGAUAUCAGGAGGAACACCGGUGGCGAAGGCGGGUCUCUGGGCAGUAACUGACGCUGAGGAACGAAAGCGUGGGUAGCGAACAGGAUUAGAUACCCUGGUAGA
RNAcentral lists this ribosomal RNA (716 nucleotides) under uncultured bacterium. RNAcentral describes it as "bacterial SSU rRNA". It matches the Rfam family "Bacterial small subunit ribosomal RNA", at positions 60 to 794 of the family's 1533-position model. The record is from RNAcentral.